UUGCACGCUGGCGGCAUGCUUUACACCUGCCAGUCGAACGGCAGCACGGGCUUCGGCCUGGUGGCGAGUGGCGAACGGGUGAGUAAUACAUCGGAACGUACCCAGAAGUGGGGGAUAACGCAGCGAAAGUUGCGCUAAUACCGCAUACGUUCUACGGAAGAAAGUGGGGGAUCGCAAGACCUCAUGCUUUUGGAGCGGCCGAUGUCUGAUUAGCUAGUUGGUGGGGUAAAGGCUCACCAAGGCGACGAUCAGUAGCUGGUCUGAGAGGACGACCAGCCACACUGGAACUGAGACACGGUCCAGACUCCUACGGGAGGCAGCAGUGGGGAAUUUUGGACAAUGGGCGCAAGCCUGAUCCAGCAAUGCCGCGUGAGUGAAGAAGGCCUUCGGGUUGUAAAGCUCUUUUGUCAGGGAAGAAACGGCUCCGGCUAAUAUCCGGGGCUAAUGACGGUACCUGAAGAAUAAGCACCGGCUAACUACGUG
Molecule: ribosomal RNA, 483 nt
Filed under: uncultured bacterium
Lineage: Bacteria
Description: partial 16S ribosomal RNA
Rfam family: Bacterial small subunit ribosomal RNA
Source: RNAcentral